CAAUAAGCGGAGGAAAAGAAACCAACAGGGAUUGCCUUAGUAACGGCGAGUGAAGCGGCAAAAGCUCAAAUUUGAAAUCUGGCACCUUCGGUGUCCGAGUUGUAAUUUGAAGAAGGUAACUUUGGGAUUGGCUCUUGUCUAAGUUCCUUGGAACAGGACGUCACAGAGGGUGAGAAUCCCGUGCGAUGAGAUGACCAAUCCUAUGUAAAGUGCUUUCGAAGAGUCGAGUUGUUUGGGAAUGCAGCUCUAAGUGGGUGGUAAAUUCCAUCUAAAGCUAAAUAUUGGCGAGAGACCGAUAGCGAACAAGUACAGUGAUGGAAAGAUGAAAAGAACUUUGAAAAGAGAGUGAAAAAGUACGUGAAAUUGUUGAAAGGGAAGGGCUUGAGAUCAGACUUGGUAUUUUGCAUUCCUUACCUUCGUGGUGGGGUUCCUUGCAGUUUACUGGGCCAGCAUCGGUUUGGAUGGUGGGAUAAUGACAUUGGAAUGUGGCUCUGCUUCGGUAGAGUGUUAUAGCCAGUGUUGAUACCGCCUGUCUAGACCGAGGACUGCGUCUUUGACUAGGAUGCUGGCA
RNAcentral lists this ribosomal RNA (571 nucleotides) under Schwanniomyces occidentalis. RNAcentral describes it as "eukaryotic LSU rRNA". It matches the Rfam family "Eukaryotic large subunit ribosomal RNA", at positions 44 to 631 of the family's 3401-position model. The record is from RNAcentral. Lineage: Eukaryota; Fungi; Ascomycota; Pichiomycetes; Serinales; Debaryomycetaceae.